This is an unclassified non-coding RNA of Cavia aperea (Brazilian guinea pig), 101 nucleotides long. Its record names the gene Vault. It matches the Rfam family "Vault RNA". Rfam says of the family: This family of RNAs are found as part of the enigmatic vault ribonucleoprotein complex. The complex consists of a major vault protein (MVP), two minor vault proteins (VPARP and TEP1), and several small untranslated RNA molecules. NCBI's taxonomy places the organism in Eukaryota, Metazoa, Chordata, Mammalia, Rodentia, Caviidae. The record is from Ensembl.
GGGCUGGCUUUAGCCCAGCGGUUCCUUCGAGUCUGGCUUCCCAACUGCCCAGGCCGACUGGUCUGGUGGUUCGAGACCCGUGGGCGCUCUCCAAUCCUUUA